AAAGACCACAUUUUUGCAUUGUUUAUGUUCAAUGUUUGACCAUUUAUCUUAUUUGAAAAAAAUAAUGAUUAUAGUACUUUUUUAUUGUUAUUAGAUGAUAAAACAUGAAUAGUACUUUAUACGUGACUAAAUUUUUAACUUUUUAAUACUUUUUUUUAAAUAAGAUGGAUAGUCAAACAUUUAACAUAGAAAUCUCUAACAACAUUUAAA
Molecule: non-coding RNA, 210 nt
Organism: Oryza glaberrima (African rice)
Lineage: Eukaryota; Viridiplantae; Streptophyta; Magnoliopsida; Poales; Poaceae
Source: Rfam